This 441-nucleotide ribosomal RNA is filed under the name Triticum aestivum (bread wheat). RNAcentral's name for it is "partial small subunit ribosomal RNA". Lineage: Eukaryota; Viridiplantae; Streptophyta; Magnoliopsida; Poales; Poaceae. The record is from RNAcentral.
AUGGCCUCGAGCUCCAGAGCCCUGUGGGCGAGCCUCUUGGACAAACAGAAGAAGAAGAUUGCCGGCAUUACGGCCGGCUGGCAAGCUAGAAGAUGGACGAGCUCUCCGGAUGCCAGCGCAGUAGACCUGCCAAUGAAAGAGGUGGCAAGGCGGCAGCGACAAGCCGGUGCCACGUCCUCGCAGACCGAUGUCGGUGCCAGUGUGGGCGAGGCGCAUGCACACUGCAGACAUGGUGUUGGAAGAGUGGAAGCCACGUUCCGGCAGACGCAGGCGGGCCAGAGGUUAAACCUCCGCCUCCUCGACAAGCACCGGCGUGCGGAGGAGCAACUCGCCGGCACGGGCAUUGUGGAGGACGUGGAUGUGGACGAGCAAGAGGCGCUGCUCCUGUCCUACUGCGCCGGCUGCGACAUCCUUCGUGAGCGAUGGCGGCACCGUGUCUGA